This 434-nucleotide ribosomal RNA is filed under the name uncultured bacterium. RNAcentral describes it as "partial 16S ribosomal RNA". It matches the Rfam family "Bacterial small subunit ribosomal RNA", at positions 29 to 507 of the family's 1533-position model. The record is from RNAcentral.
AGCGAACGCUGGCGGCAGGCCUAACACAUGCAAGUCGAACGAACCUUUCGGGGUUAGUGGCGGGCGGGUGAGUAACACGUGGGAACGUGCCUUUAGGUUCGGAAUAACUCAGGGAAACUUGUGCUAAUACCGAAUGUGCCCAUCGGGGGAAAGAUUUAUCGCCUUUAGAGCGGCCCGCGUCUGAUUAGCUAGUUGGUUGAGGUAAUGGCUCACCAGGGCGACGAUCAGUAGCUGGUCUGAGAGGAUGAUCAGCCACAUUGGGACUGAGACACGGCCCAAGCUCCUACGGGAGGCAGCAGUGGGGAAUCUUGCGCAAUGGGCGAAAGCCUGACGCAGCCAUGCCGGGUGAAUGAUGCAGGUCUUAGGAUUGUAAAAUUCUUUCUCCGGGGACGAUAAUGACGGUACCCGGAGAAGAAGCCCCGGCUAACUACGUG